GCGAGUGAAGAAGGGGAGGGGAAGAGAGGUGUAAAUUGGCUAUAAAUACAUAAAAUGUAUGGAGGGGAAAGACUUCCUUAUCAUUCUAGCCUGAACAGCACAGAACCAGAUGAGAACCCUUCCUUCUUAAGUCUCCAAUUUGUUUUUCUUGGGAGAAGGGGAAGAAGUGAAUUAUCAUCUAAAAGAAAAGAAAGGAAAAAAAGUCAGAGCGAUUCACGCCUAGGUCACGCAAACAUAAGCCCUGACACCAAGGAGAGAAAUGCUCUCUGCAGACAAGUUAACCUGACGUCUUGUAACGAUGUGCUCAGAGCUUACCAGAUGAGUAUGGGUGGACUGUUCAGUGGAUGAAGAACUGGCUGCAGGAUUGAAUCCAGAGAGUGAUGCACAAUGGCCCAACAUCUGGAUGGAGGUCAAUGACAAGUAGUGUCCCCCAGGGGUCAGUGCUGGGGCUGAUUCUCUUUAGUGUCUUCAUCAGUGACAUUGACAGUGGGGUCAAGUGCACCCUCAGCAAGUUUGCUGAUGACACCAAGCUGAGUGGUGUUGUUUUCACACUAGAGGGUGUCUAGGUCCAGUGGGAUCUAGACAGGCUUGAGCAGUAGGCCGAGGUGAACCUCAUGAGGUUCAACAAAUCUGAGUACAAGGUCUUGCGUCUGGGUUGAGGAAUCCUUACUACCAAUGCAAGCUGAGAGAUGAAAGGAUUGAGUGCAGCCCUGCCAAAAAAGACCUGGGAGUACUGGUGGAUUGAAAGCUGUACAUGAGCCAGCAAUGUGCUCUCAUAGCCCAGAAAGCCAACAGUAUCUUGGGCUGCAUCAAAAGAAGUGUGGCCAGCAGGGUGAGGGAGGUGAUCCUGCUCCUCUGCUCUGUGCUGGGGUGACCUCACCUGGAGUACUGCGUCCAGAUACAGAGUCCUCAGUACAGGAGAGGCAUGGACCUGUUGGAGCGUGUCCAGAGAAGGGCCACAAAAAUGAUCCAAGGGAUGGAACACCUCUUCUAUGAGGACAGACUGAGAGAUCUGGAGGCUGUUCAGCCUGGAGAAGAGAAGGCUGCAAGAUGACCUGAGAGCAGCCUCUCAGUAUCUCAAGGGGAUACUUGAAAAGUAAGGGGACAGACUCUUUAGGAGAGUCUGUGGUGAUUGAAGAAGGGGAAAUGGCUUCAAGCUUUAAAAGAGUAGAUUUAGGUUCGAUAUAAAGAAAAGGCCUUUUACAGUGAGGGUGGUGAGGCACUGGAACAGGUUGCCUAGAGCUGUGGUUGAUACCCCGUCCCCAGAGACUUUAAAGGUAAGGCUGAAUCAGGUCUAGGGCAACCUGAUCUAGCCGUGGAUGGCCCUGUUCAUUGCAGGGGAGUUGGACUAGAUGACCUUUAAAGGCCCAUUUCAACUCUAAGGAUUCUCUGAUUCUAUGAGUUAGUCUUCUGGGAUCUUCCCCAGCGGUACAAUUGAGAUCACUGAAAUCAUACUGUGAAAUUCUACCACAAAAAUAAAUAAAAUAAAAUAAAAUAAAAUAAAAUAAAAUAAAAUAAAAUAAUGAAAUAAAAUGUUACUUCUUCUUCCAAAAUAAGGCAUUUGAGAGCUCAUAUAUACCACAUUUCCAAAAGCUAAUACUGAUACUGCUUUAAGUAUACCUAUAUUUUGUGUUUCAAUUGCACUCAUUAAAUAUUUAAUAUAUUUAAUUAAUAUAUUUAAUAUUUCUCAGUUAAAUCUAUUUUUCCAAAUUUUGCUUUGUCAUAACUGCAUAGGAAGAAGUUAUAUCAAGAUCAUAUUUGGUCUUACCUACUAUGCUUUCAACUAAAACAGCCUAAGGCUCAAAAGAAAAACAGAAAACUAGAAUAUUCUUAUAACAGACAUUCAAUAUUACAAAACCUGAGAAUAAUCAAUAACUUAUAUUCUCUUCCAUUUUUCACAAUCUCAUAUUAAAAAAAAAAAAAAAAAAAAAAAAGUAAAGCACUUUUCAGAAACUUUGCGAUAAAAUAUGCUCCUUACAAUAAAUAAACAUCACAGGCUGAAAAUGUUCACUCCUCUGCUCAUCAUGAAGAUCAGGACAAGAUAACUUCUGUAAGUAAUACUGUAAUACAAAAUUGAUAGUACUUGAUUUUUACAUAAAAAAGAACAAACAAGAAUUAAAAUAUAAUUUCUGUGUUACAACUAGAAUAGGAUAAAGUCAAUAUAAUUUUAUAACUAAUAACUCAAACUAUAAAAUAUGAGGUUGUCUAUUCUUAAAGAUAUUGUUGUCUAUUCUUAAAGAUAUCCAUUAGACUAUUAAAGCAUAAACAGAGCUACUCACAAGGUACAGUAAAACUUUUUCACAUAAAAUAUGAAAAGUUAUUGAAAUAUCUAAUCUGAGAUCAACUAGAGAACUUCGAACAGAUAGGAGCACAAGAAAAAGCACAAACUUCUGAUGUGAUACUUCUCUGAGAGCAAGUGGAUCAGUAUUGCUGGAACAUGGGAGAUUGGUAGGUUGGUAAGAACCUCAGGUGAUGAAGUCUUAAAGCAGGGCUAGCUGUGAGGUCAGGUCACGCGGAUGUACUUGAGCACCUUGUACUAGAGAAUGGCGUAGAAGAAGUGGGAAAGGAAAGCAGACAGAAAGUCAGAGUUGGUUGUGAAGAAUGGUUGCUACAUAAUGGCUUAAUUUCCUGAAGUAAACAACAGGUUCGCUGGGUUAUGGUGUGGUAGAGACAAGCCCUAACACUAGAUAAAAUAGAAAAUAGGAAUAUUAGAUGAUGAUUAGAUAAUUCUCAUCUAGGAAAAGAGGUUAAAGUGUGAAUUGCAGAGCACUGCAGUAAAGAAAGAAAAUAAAGAUAAAAGAAGGAUAAAAUAAUAAUAGGUGAGAGGAAUUCAAUAAAAUGAUAUGUACUAGUAAAGUUCUCAGUAUCAUUUUCAUAUCUACCAAUCACCACAUUCUCAAAGACGUGUGGAUUUUCCAAGCUCAAGAUAGUGCUUAUCAAAUUGCUUUUCCACCCAGAUAGGUAGGUAGACAUAUAUAAAUUUGAUCUCAGAAAGAGAAGAGAAUGAAGAAACAACAGCUCAUGUUAUGGCUGUAGUCAGAUAUCAUCAACAUCAAUGAAACAUUUGCCAUCCAUUAAAAUUUUAGAGCACUUUAUUCCUGAGAUAAUAAAAACUAUUUUCAUAGUUUCAGCUCAGAUUUAUCUUACAAUUUAAUAAAGUGGGAUUGUAUUAAA
Long non-coding RNA from Gallus gallus (chicken), 3174 nucleotides. RefSeq lists it as uncharacterized. The record is from RefSeq and is a predicted model, not a curated record. The transcript has 3 exons. Lineage: Eukaryota; Metazoa; Chordata; Aves; Galliformes; Phasianidae.